CACUUUGGGAUGGUUUUGAGAACGGCCAUGAGUGGUGGGUUGAACGGCCUGUGGUGGUGGCUGUGGACGGCUAGCGUCGUCGUGUGGGUCUGGUAGGCCUCAGAGGCAAGCUGUCAAAGGAGGUCGUCGAGAGCAAGUUGUGCCAGCAGGGAGCCAUAGUUGUUCCGGAGAUCAGGAGCUGUCAAAGGAGGCAGACUCCUGAGUUGCGGUGUCGAACGACUUGGCGCUGUCUCAUUGAACGGCCCGGGAUGGCGACAGUGAAUGGCCAGGGCGUUGCAGCGACGAAGCCUCACCAGCGGAAGGAGGUAGCGUGGUGGAGGGAUUGGAGUGAGCUCGGCCACGAGCGCAGCCGCCAUGGGAUGAACUGGAGGAAGUGCUGAACAACAAUGGAGGUGAGGAGGUGCUUGGCUGGCGGCGGAGCAAGGAGAGAUAGCGGCGGCGCGUGAGGACGUCGUUCGGGUGGCCGUGGUGGCGACAGAUGGUUUUGGGCGGUGCGAUCUAGGGUAAGGCAACGGCGACGACUCGAUCUGUGAUUGGAGUGCGGGGCGGUGGCCGGAUCCGAGGGAGAAGGUGGGGGCUGCGGCCGGAGCCGAGGGAGAAGGUGGGGGCUGCGGCCGGAGGCGAGGGAGAAGGUGGGGGCGGCGGCCGGAGCCGAGGGAGAACGUGUGGGGCAGCGGCCGGAGCCGAGGGAGAAGGUGGGGACAGGGCUGCGCACUGGAGGAGAGGGGAGGCCGCGACGGCGUGCUGGGGGAGGCACCGGCGGCGCGCUGGGGUAGGGAGAGGCCGCGACGGCGCGCUGGUGAAAGGGGCGGUCGCGGCGGCGCACUGGGGGAGCGGAUCAGGUCGGGGGACGGGGGUUCUGGGUCUU
This 868-nucleotide long non-coding RNA is filed under the name Triticum aestivum (bread wheat). Its description in RNAcentral is "long non-coding RNA (TAES_LNC008862)". Lineage: Eukaryota; Viridiplantae; Streptophyta; Magnoliopsida; Poales; Poaceae. The record is from RNAcentral.